Molecule: ribosomal RNA, 301 nt
Filed under: uncultured bacterium
Lineage: Bacteria
Description: partial 16S ribosomal RNA
Rfam family: Bacterial small subunit ribosomal RNA
Source: RNAcentral
CAGCAGCCGCGGGAAAACGUAGGUGGCAAGCGUUGUCCGGAAUUAUUGGGCGUAAAGGGCUCGCAGGCGGUUUCUUAAGUCUGAUGUGAAAGCCCCCGGCUCAACCGGGGAGGGUCAUUGGAAACUGGGAAACUUGAGUGCGGAAGAGGAGAGUGGAAUUCCACGUGUAGCGGUGAAAUGCGUAGAGAUGUGGAGGAACACCAGUGGCGGAGGCGACUCUCUGGUCUGUAACUGACGCUGAGGAGCGAAAGCGUGGGGAGCGAACAGGAUUAGAUACCCCCGUAGUCCCUGUCUCUUAUAC